Molecule: ribosomal RNA, 678 nt
Filed under: uncultured Actinomycetes bacterium
Lineage: Bacteria; Bacillati; Actinomycetota; Actinomycetes
Description: SSU rRNA
Rfam family: Bacterial small subunit ribosomal RNA
Source: RNAcentral
CUUGUUGGUGAGGUAACGGCUCACCAAGGCUUCGAUCCGUAGCUGGUCUGAGAGGACGAUCAGCCACACUGGGACUGAGACACGGCCCAGACUCCUACGGGAGGCAGCAGUGGGGAAUCUUGCGCAAUGGGCGAAAGCCUGACGCAGCGACGCCGCGUGAGGGAAGAAGGCCUUCGGGUUGUAAACCUCUUUCAGGAGGGACGAAGCCACUCGGGUCAAUAGCCCAGAGGGUGACGGUACCUCCAGAAGAAGCCCCGGCUAACUACGUGCCAGCAGCCGCGGUAAUACGUAGGGGGCUAGCGUUGUCCGGAUUUAUUGGGCGUAAAGAGCGUGUAGGCGGCCAGGUAGGUCUGCUGUGAAAACUCGAGGCUCAACCUCGAGACGUCGGCGGAAACCAUCUGGCUAGAGUCCGGAAGAGGAGAGUGGAAUUCCUGGUGUAGCGGUGAAAUGCGCAGAUAUCAGGAAGAACACCCGUGGCGAAGGCGGCUCUCUGGGACGGUACUGACGCUGAGACGCGAAAGCGUGGGGAGCGAACAGGAUUAGAUACCCUGGUAGUCCACGCCGUAAACGAUGGGUGCUAGGUGUGGGGGGUGUCGACUCCCUCCGUGCCGAAGCUAACGCAUUAAGCACCCCGCCUGGGGAGUACGGCCGCAAGGCUAAAACUCAAAGGAAUUGACG